RNAcentral lists this ribosomal RNA (254 nucleotides) under uncultured bacterium. Its description in RNAcentral is "partial 16S ribosomal RNA". It matches the Rfam family "Bacterial small subunit ribosomal RNA", at positions 524 to 776 of the family's 1533-position model. The record is from RNAcentral.
UACGAAGGGGGCUAGCGUUGCUCGGAAUCACUGGGCGUAAAGAGCUCGUAGGCGGCUUGGCAAGUCGGAUGUGAAAACUCCAGGCUCAACCUGGAGCCGCCAUUCGAUACUGCUAUGGCUAGAGUCCGGUAGGGGAGUGUGGAAUUCCCGGUGUAGCGGUGAAAUGCGCAGAUAUCGGGAGGAACACCGAUGGCGAAGGCAGCACUCUGGGCCGGUACUGACGCUGAGGAGCGAAAGCGUGGGGAGCGAACAGG